GGCGGCGUGCCUAACACAUGCAAGUCGAACGAAGCAUUAAAGUGAAUCCCUUCGGGGUGAAGCUUUUAUGACUUAGUGGCGGACGGGUGAGUAACGCGUGAGUAACCUGCCUUUCAGAGGGGGAUAACAGUUGGAAACGACUGCUAAUACCGCAUAACGUAUCGGAACCGCAUGAUUCUGAUACCAAAGCUGAGGCGCUGAAAGAUGGACUCGCGUCUGAUUAGAUAGUUGGUGAGGUAACGGCUCACCAAGUCGACGAUCAGUAGCCGGACUGAGAGGUUGAACGGCCACAUUGGGACUGAGACACGGCCCAGACUCCUACGGGAGGCAGCAGUGGGGAAUAUUGCACAAUGGGCGAAAGCCUGAUGCAGCAACGCCGCGUGAGGGAAGAAGGUUUUCGGAUUGUAAACCUCUGUUUUUAGUGAAGAAACAAAUGACGGUAGCUAAAGAGGAAGCCACGGCUAACUACGUG
Molecule: ribosomal RNA, 472 nt
Filed under: uncultured bacterium
Lineage: Bacteria
Description: bacterial SSU rRNA
Rfam family: Bacterial small subunit ribosomal RNA
Source: RNAcentral